GCUAAUGUGCUUGGCGGGUCAGUGGAGAGGUGGCUAACGUGCUUGGCGCUUGGCGGGUCAAUGGAGAGGUGGCUGAAGUUACUGCGCGACAGUGGAGAGGUGGCUAGAGACCCUGCAGGUCAGUGGAGAGGUGGCUAACGUGUUUGGUGGGACAGUGGAGAGGUGGCUUGAAGUUCCCGCGCGACAGUGGUGAGGUGGCUAACGUGCUUGGCGGGUCAGUGAGGACGUGGCUGGAGUGCCUGAGGGUCAAUAGAGAGGUGGUUAACGUGCUUGGCGGGUGAGUGGAGAGGUGGCUUGAAGUUCCCGCGCGACAGUGGUGAGGUGGCUAACGUGCUUGGCGGGUCAGUGGAGACGUGGCUGGAGUGCCUGAGGGUCAAUAGAGAGGUGGUUAACGUGCUUGGCGGGUGAGUGGAGAGGUGGCUUGAAGUUCCCGCGCGACAGUGGUGAGGUGGCUAACGUGCUUGGCGGGUCAGUGAGGACGUGGCUGGAGUGCCUGAGGGUCAAUAGAGAGGUGGUUAACGUGCUUGGCGGGUGAGUGGAGAGGUGGCUUGAAGUUCCCGCGCGACAGUGGUGAGGUGGCUAACGUGCUUGGCGGGUCAGUGAGGACGUGGCUGGAGUGCCUGAGGGUCAAUAGAGAGGUGGUUAACGUGCUUGGCGGGUGAGUGGAGAGGUGGCUUGAAGUUCCUGCGCGACAGUGGUGAGGUGGCUACGUGCUUGGCGGGUCAGUGGAGAGAUGGCUGGCUAACGUGCUUGGCGGUAAUGCUGAAGAACUGCUGUUGUGAUGACUAUUUUCAUCGGCAAUGUCAUAUUAGACGCUCAGCUGUGGGAUGGCAAGAUGGCUCGGAGGGUGAAGGCACUUGCUGCCCAGCCUGAUGAUCUGAGAUUGAACUCCAGGACCCACAAGAUAAGGUAGACGAACCAGCUCCCAUUGUUGUCUGAUCACCAUGUGAAUGAAUGACUAGUCGCAGGAACAUGCAUGCGCACACAUACACACACUCAUACACAGUAGCUCUUAAAAAAGACCUUAAGAACUCGGCGGACGCAAAACCCUUCACGCUAGAGAAAGCUAUUUUCUUAUUCGGCACAUCUCUCCUUGAAGUGUACACUUAAAGGAAUGAUUAGAUCCUGGCAUACAUAUUUUAAAAUGUAAAGUGGGGAAACAGCUCUCUAACUUCCCACUUUAUGGUGGUUUAUUUCAAGCCACUUCAAAUUACUGCCAGAAUUUAAUGGUGGAUAGAAUAAAUUAAAUGUGGCUUAUAAUUUUCGAAGGCGACUUGACAUGUUCUCGAAUUUAAUUCUUCCACAGCCACCUUUUAAAAACAAGUAGGGGCUGGUGAACAAUGUCAGACAAAAUAUAAAGAUUAGGUCGUCUUCCUAAAAAUUAAUCAUACUAAAGGCCACACAAAGAUUGAUUUUUGACUUUUUAAGCUUGCAGAACAGACCAAGCAAAGACGCUUGUCUUAAACAUUCUGCAGUAUUGCAGUGCUCUAUCUAUGCACAGACUCACCGCCCUCAGCACACUGACCACUUAGUCAUCAGCUAUAAUACAAACGGCUAUUUUUACUUGAGAAAAGCUAAUGAUCACACACAAUCAAUCCACCUUGCAACUCAAAUGCCUUUCUUAAAAUGUAAAGCUAUCAAUAACUUUUCUGGCAGUUGGUACUGUACAAUAGCAAGCAGCAAUAUACAAAAGCCGAGUUUAAAGUUUCUUAAGCUCCUGGAGGAAGAAUGGAGAGAAAAGUGCUAAACUUCUUUCUGUGGGAGACAAUUUUUCUGUUGAUACUAUAUAAGGAAAGCCCCAAAUAAAAGGUGGCGAUCCAACUCCCAGAGCACCUUGCCUCAAAUAUUUUGCACAAUAAAGCAUUAAUAAUGGUAGGCAAGACUGGUUCCUGGCCCUAGAAUGUGCCAGCGAUUGGAAUUGGAGUAAUUUUAGAAAUGCAAGUUAAAGAAGGCUCAUCCACCUAGUUUUGGCCUGCUUUUGCUAUUCGGUGUAUAAAUAAAUACGUGCAAGUUUAUUAAUAGAAAAUAGGGUGUUUUGGGCAAUUAACAUCACCCAGAAUAAUGCAAGAACUGGAAGUGUCUCUGUUCAAUGGGACCAAGGAGAAUGCAACUGAAGCAUUGCAGCCAUAUGAAGGGAGUAAACUGAUGGCUUCUGGGGGUGUUGACUUUAAGUCAAGAGAAGGGCUUUACUCAGUCAAUACGGUGUAAACAAAGAGGCCAAAGGGAUGAUGGAGUGAUGGGCUCGGGAAAGGGCACAAACUCUUCCUUAAUGAUGGGUUUCUGAGAAUUAGUAGUCCAGAAGAGUGGUUCAUGGACAAGCUAGGGGCCGGGCAAAAGGAAGACAAUAUAAAGUGUGAGGUUGUGACUAUUUACAAUUUUAUUUAGUAAAGCAGUGCAAAAAAAAAGGGUCCAAAUAUGGGUCACUGUCGGGUGUACGUACUGUUGUGUUGUAUUUUACUUUAUUAUAUCAAUGGGAAAGUAGAGAAGGGGGUUUGCUCAACAAGUCAGAGUAGAAAAUACCACCAAGAACUGCCAUUGUGCCUAUUAUAGUCCCGAAAUAAGUUUAAGGAAGAAAAAGCAAGCCAUUCAUCAGUCACUGUGCUCAUGGACAGACAGUCUCGGGUGUCUUAGGUGGCUCAGCAAGGUCUGAAUAAUAAAGGGGGCUUGUGAGGACAUCUGAUUCUAGGCACGCAGUCAUAAAUUAUUCACACUAACAAUCAUGGAGCUUGGUUAGUAGCCUUGAUGGUAUGGAAGGACAGCACAGAGGUCCUUGACACUUUUGCUCAGUAAUCAUCCAAAUGCUGAGGUUAUAGUUACACUCAGCAGCCCCAGUCAACAGGUAGGCAUUUCAGAUCCUUUUCUGCCAUACAGGUCCAUGAUGUGAAAGGGGACAUAUUGACAUUGUCAAGAGAAGUGCUCAGAAGUAACCAGCGUGCCUCUGGGGUCAAAGGAGUGCAAGGAUGUAGCAUCCUACUCCAAACGUAGUGCUGGACAAUGGCAUUAACGCACUUUGAAGUCCAAGUAAAGAGCACUUCGUGGAGCCCCCUUUCUGCUUUAAAGCGGGGAAGAGGGUACAGUAGUUCUCACAGAAGUGCUUAGACAUCGUUCGUGUGAACGUUCCAAAUGACAAGUCUUGAGCAGAGACACCACCUGCUGAAGGUGGUGGUGUGAGCGGGAUCCUUGUCCAGUGCACAGAGCAGGAGGCAGUGCAUAUGCAGACAUAACCUAUGAUGACAGUCCGCAGCCUUGCUUGAUCAGUAGACCCUGAUAUACUGCAAAUGAAAGGUGAAGGGCUCACCCUUGUCUACUGGCAAAGACAAAGGAAAAUUCGCUGUAUAUUAAUGGUCCACUAGCGGGAACCUUGGGGGGAUAAAAAGUAUAGUAUCCCUUGCAGUAGUGCAAAAGAGAUACAGUGGUCCUGAAAGUUAAUAAGGUUGUGGACAACUGUGAUUUUACACAUUAAGUGCCCAAGUAUUUUUAUUAAAAUGAAUUGAUCAUGUCCCUGUCAUGUAUAUUAAUGUUCAAGGGACAUCGUGUAAUCAAUUAAAACCACACCCUUUAUGCAGAUAUUAAGUCCUUAAAGUAAUAGACAGUCCUGGAAAUUAAAGAAUGGAAAGGAAGGGGAUAUCCUUACCCAGUGUCCAGGAAGAUGAAGAAGCCAUAAGAUUAGUAACCCUUGCUGUACCGCAAAAGGGUUUGAGAGUAGGAUCAUAUCCAAACUGAAUGAGCCGGGUGCAGUUAACGCACACUAAUAUGCAAGGCUCAUGCUUGUGGCCAUGACAGUUUUGCACUUUUGCUGUUCAAACAUAAGGGUCUUUGACAAUGCGCAUUCCCUGCUGAAAGGGAAAGGCACAAGACAUAAAGGCAGAGAGUGAUUUCCUUCUGUAGUAAACAGAAAAGGACCACUACAAUCAGUCAUUAUUAGCAAGCCACAAAAGGGGACCUUAUAGGUCAACACCACUUCUGUACUUCAACGUGAGUGCCAAACUGAUCCUACUAAAAUUGCCAGUAUGUACACAAGCAGUUUGAGAAAGGGGUUUCAAGUGAACAGCACACAGUUCCAUAAAGCCAAGAGGAUAUGAAUGAUCAGAGACAGAAGUCUUACCUUGAAGGACCAUUGACAGUAUUGCAAUCGUUUCAAUCUGUGGUCUCAUGAAAGAGGCUUUAUAUUAGCGAGCCCUUUCACUUUGAUAAGUCCAGGAGUCCUGAUCUAAAAGGCUCAGCUGUGGACAUGAGAAUAUGUACAAGACAGUGAACACAAGCACAUUUACUAUGUUAAGGAUCUUAAGGACUGAGCCCCUCCUGCCAUAAUACAAGUAAGGUAAGGUCUUUACCAGACUCAGAUUACUACAGCGAAAUGAAGUAUGCACGUCAAAGACUCCAUGGCAUAGUGGUAGAAAUCGGUUAUGCCAACACUUAUGAAGCACAGGCUAGAUCCUGAGCUCAAGGCCAGCCUGGGAUCUAUAUAUAUAUUAAGUUCUGGGCUAGCCUGAGAAUUAAAAACAGAACAGAUUGAUCUGGGUUCAAAGGUCUUGAAUACAAAUGAAAUGACUUAGUUUGGUUUCCUUUAUCCAGUGCUUGGGAAGAGGGACAAAUGCAGCUCUGCGCACAGAAACAGGCACAUAUGUUUACAUUACAGGUGGCAAUGCCCGAAAUUCCCGUAACUGGGACUGAGAAGCAGGAGGAUUGAGUACCUGCCCAGCCCAGGAUACGUAAGAGACUAUUCUCUCAAACCACCACAUGGUGGAGCUGUAGCUCUAUGACAAAGUGCUUUACUAGCAUGCCCAAGACUCUAGGUUUGAUCCCCAGUACAGCAAAAAAGACCAGAACAGAGAAGUGGUCUUAUUGAUUGGCACCCUUUAUUGUCACCCAUUAGGGUAUGAGGGUAUGGGAUCUUGGUUAGUAACAGAAGGAACUUGAGCAACGGCAGUUUUGCACAAUUGUAUAAGAGGCUUCAGGUAAUCAGCAACACUCUUGACAUAAAGCAGAGGUAGUAUUAGGACCUUGAAAAAAGAUUCAGGAUCAUCCAUAAAUAUAUCCAUCUGUCCCAGGGCAGAAGUUUUUAACCGAAAUAAGGAGAGCCUAUGGGACUAGUAUACAAUAUCAUGAACAAAUGAAUGUAUUCCAUCAGUUAAAAAGAUGUGACUGGGGACAGCACCCGUGCCAGCAUUCAAACAGUAAGUAUAUAGUACGCCCUUUAAUGGCCAAUGCCUUGGGAAUUGGGACUGAGCACCUUUACUGUCCGAUAUCAGACCUGUGUUUGCCCCUUUGUUAAAUGCACGUGGGGCUGGACUAGCUAGGGUCUAAUCCAAUGGAUAAAUUAUGGGCACAGAAUCAUGCACUGCAUAGAGUGCUCAAGACGUGAGAAAAGACAACUGAGCACUGCUCAGAGACUUGGGACUGGGACUAUUGCAGCAAUGACAGAAUGGUUUUUCCUUAAGGAAAGGAGGCUUGAGAGAUGAUAACCUCCAUGGCAAGUCUCUGAUAUAAAACUCUUGUUCACUUGGUGUAUCUUGAUUAACAUGAGGGACAAGAGUUCUUUGUUACACUGAGUCCAUGGGCAAGUAAAGUAGCACUGUGUGCAAAGUGAACUCGUGACUUAGGAAGUCAGUGUGGGGGGUAUAUAGGACCUCAGUCUUGUAGGCUGAGUAGUGGACAUUGCACUUUAGCACUAGGACUGUGCAAAGUGAAUUUGUGAUCUAGGAAAUCAGUAUGGAGGGGGUAUUAGGAUCUCAGUCUUGUAGGCUGAGUAGUGGACAUUGCAUUUUAGCACCAGGACUGUGCAAAGUGAACUUGUGAUCUAGGAAGUCAGCAUGGGUUGGGGUGUGUGUGUAUAAGAUCUCAGUUUUAUAGGCUGAGUAGUGGACAUUGCACUUUAGCACCAGGACUGUGCAAAGUGAAUUUGUGAUCUAGGAAGUCAGCAUGGGGUAUAUAGGAUCUCAGUCUUAUAGGCUGAGUAAUGGGCAUUGCAUUUUAGCAUUAGGACUGUGCAAAGUAAAUUUGUGAUCCAGGAAGUAGUAUGGAGGGGGUAUAUAAGAUCUCAGUCUUGUAGGCUGAGUAGUGGGCACUGCAUUUUAGCACCAGGACUGGGUGCAAAGUGAACUUGUGAUCUAGGAAGUCAGCAUGGGGUAUAUAGGACCUCAGUCUUGUAGGCUGAGUAAUGGGCAUUGCAUUUUAGCACCAGGACUGUGUGCAAAGUGAACUUGUGAUCUAGGAGUCAGCAUGGGUGGGGGGGGGGUGUAUAGGACCUCAAUCUUGUAGGCUGAGUAGUGGGCAUUGCAUUUUAGCACUAGGACUGUGUGCAAAGUGAACUUGUGACUUAGGAAGUCAGCAUGGAGCGGGGGAUAUAGGAUCUCAGUCUUGUAGGCUGAGUAGUGGGCACUGCAUUCAGCACUAGGACUGUGCAAAGUAAAUUUGUGAUCCAGGAAGUCAGUAUGGAGGGGAUAUAAGAUCUCAGUCUUGUAGGCUGAGUAGUGGACAUUGCACUUUAGCACCAGGACUGUGCAAAGUGAAUUUGUGAUCUAGGAAGUCAGCAUGGGGGGUAUAUAGGAUCUCAGUCUUAUAGGCUGAGUAAUGGGCAUUGCAUUUUAGCAUUAGGACUGUGCAAAGUAAAUUUGUGAUCCAGGAAGUCAGUAUGGAGGGGAUAUAAGAUCUCAGUCUUGUAGGCUGAGUAGUGGGCACUGCACUUUAGCACCAGGACUGUGCAAAGUGAAUGUGAUCUAGGAAGUCAGUAUGGAGGGGGUAUAUAAGAUCUCAGUCUUAUAGGCUGAGUAGUGGGCAUUGCAUUUUAGCACUAGGACUGUGUGCAAAGUGAACUUGUGACUUAGGAAGUCAGCAUGGAGCGGGGGAUAUAGGAUCUCAGUCUUGUAGGCUGAGUAGUGGGCACUGCAUUCAGCACUAGGACUGUGCAAAGUGAAUUUGUGAUCCAGGAAGUCAGUAUGGAGGGGAUAUAAGAUCUCAGUCUUGUAGGCUGAGUAGUGGACAUUGCACUUUAGCACCAGGACUGUGUGCAAAGUGAACUCGUGACUCAUGGACGGGGUAUAGAUGGAUAUCUCAGUCUUAUAGGCUGAGUAAUGGGCACUGAAUUUUAGCAUUGAAUCAAUGAAGAUUGGAAUUUCUUUAGGCAGAAGUGGACUGGGGAUAGGUCUGAAAGAAUCUGGGCGUGGGACUAGGAUUGGGUUGGGGCAGGGCAGGGCAGGGGUUGGGCUGGGUUGGGUGGGGACCGGGCCUGGGGCUGGGGUUGGGACUGGGCCUGGGGCUGGGGCUGGGGCUGGGGCUGGGGCUGGGGCUGGGGCAGCAAUAUACUAAGUCUGAGGAACUGGAUGCCAUAAAGGCAAGAAAACACAGAAAAUUGAAAUGUGGGCAUUAAAAUUACUAUUACAAUAGUGAGUCUGAUAGAGGACAUAGAGCACUACAUUUUAAGGUUCUUGCUGACAAGCCAUUAGUCAAUAUAGUAUCAAAGAUAGCAACAAAAGCAAAGCCUGAACUGGUAUAGAGCUUCAAAUACUCCUUCUGAUAUCCAAUCAUAAAGUUAACUUUAACUUUAACAUUAUCUGUCAUGUGACUCAAAAAUUCUGAGUAGUUCACUAGUCAAAGAAAGCACAUUUAAGUGCCGAGUAACUUCAGUAUCAUCUGCCAAAAAAAUUAAUGAAAACUUUAAGGACUCCAAAGUAACAGAUCAUUAAAGGCAGUUAAAAUGAUUUCUAUAAGUAAGCAAAGCUCCUAAAUGCAUUUUUAAAUAAUCACUUCAGCCUUAAAUCCAAGCACUAGCAAACCACGGUAUCAGAUGUAUCUUUGACAUCCAAAGCAUUCAUGUAAAUCAAAAUCCAACCCCAGCAAUAGUAAUGGGGUGGAUUCUAGAAGAAGGGAGGAUUCUACCUCCUGGCCAGUGAUUUGUGAUCUACUGUGACUCUGGCCAAGGUCACCACUAUGCCCACAGUAAACUCGGAGAACCGCUUGAGAUCACAGUGCUGGCUAAGUCAGAGGCCGAGGAUUAAGUAGACUAGUCUUAGGCCACUGAACCAACAAUACAAAAGAAUGGGGUGAGGCGUAGCUUGCACCGCGAUGUAUAGAGCACUGUAAAAGACUAUCUUAGACAAAUAGGAAAGCAAGCGGAGGGGUCAAAUGUCCUCGCAAUGGCCUUAGAUUCUUUUCUUUCUUUUAACAGGUGAGAUUUCAAUGAUUCACAUCGACCUCGGGAACCCGCAACCUCAGUCUCUCGUAUCGGAUCAGAUGUCACUCAACACCUCAAUGUUAGAAUUGCAAGCAUGUGCGCUCCCACCUGGGUAGGCACUUCGAAAUAACGGUGACUGAACACAGAUGUGAGGUACCAAGCUAACUCACGUCCUUAUGGGACAGUGAGUCAGUCUAAUUCCAUCCUCUCCACCAAGCAAUAAUGCACAUUUCUGACUGCUUACGUCAAGCGGACACCAACACUUCGCAAAGUCGUGCCUAUUUCUGACGAGUUAAGUCAGGCGGCAACCAACACUUCCAACUAGCCUUUUCCUCAGCUUCGAGUGACACAAGGUAGAACCAACCACUCGCUACCAUAAUGCACCAAUUCUACCCUUGGGCAAAUCCCGCCAAGUGGCCAGAGCCCGCCAAAAAUGUACCAAAGGAAACCCCUUGAGGGCUGAUCACAUGACAACCGCCAUCUUAGACAAACUCAAGAGCAUGUGCCACUUUGUCCCUAAACUGACUCAGCCAUGAAGCUGACAUGUGAAACACAAAGCCCUCCGCCUUAUACUGCAGCAAGAGCUUGAGCCGCCAUCUUUUCUUGUAUGACCUAAAUGCCCUAUCUCCAUUGCUACAUGUUAGAGCCAACGUAGGGCUGUCGAGCUUCGGGUGCGGUACCCGAGCCGCCAUUUUGUAGACAUCUAAGCAGCCCUUAGAGCUACGGGGGGCCCCGCCAGGGGUCCAAAUGCACAUGCGGAACCCUAUCCCCUAGUCCUCUGCGGCUUCCACCCAACACCGCACACGAACAUUAGCGCUCCUUGGCUUUCUACUUCUGAAUAGCACAAUUCCUCCAAACGCUGCCACAAAUCAAGUCCAAACCCGCACAUAUAAAGAAAGCCUUUAGCUAGCGCAGCGCACAUGGUUGGCUUCUAUCCAGUUCCCUGCGCUCCUCGGCGUCCUAAUUCUUGCGUAACUGGCUCGAGAAUAUCUGUGUCACGCAGAAACCGUAAGAUGGCGGACACGGGUUCUCCACGCCCUGAACACCCACUAGGCUUAAUCGCCAAGUCGUUUUUCUAAGCCAUAGGUUCACUCACACAGCCAAACGAUCAGCACCAACAGCAAACGGAAAUAAAAAGGCAUAGAUAUAUUCCAGGUAGUUCAAUAACUCACAAAACCAUUAUUUCCAUCCACCAAAUGCCCCGAUGGGCCGUGAAAAAAAAAAUUAAAGCAGGUAUCCACAGCCCCGAUGGGCAAAAGGAAAAGAAAAAAAAAUUAAAGCAGGUAUCCGAGGCCCCGUUGGGCAUGGGAAAAAAACUAAACGCAGGUAUCCGAGGUCCCGAUGGACCGAGAAAUACGGCGUUUUUUGGUAAAAAGCAGGUAUCCAUGGCCCCGAUGGGCUAAGGAGAAGAAGAAAAAAAGAAUAAAAGCAGGUAUCCACAACCCAGAUGGGCAAGUUUAGAAGAAGAAAAGUAAGAAGAAGAAAAAAGGAUUAAAAGGCAGGUUAAGUAUCCCAAGCCCAGCUGGACAUGGAAUGGCUGGGAGGACACACAGGUAUCCGUGGCCCCGAUGGGCAAAAAAAAUGUAAAAACAGUUAAAGAAAGAAAGGUAAGUCCACCACACACAGCUGUCAACUAAAAUGCACGACAGACAAAUACUCCUUAGAAAUGAAAAAUAGACCAAAAAUAUUACAAAUAUCAAAAAAUAUGGAGGACGUGUCAAGAAAACCUUACGAGAACAUAUCAAAACAUCAAAAAUCUUAUGUAAUUUUGAUAUGUUUUCUUAAAUACACCAUAAGGCAUGGUGGUAGGGGGAUUAAAAAUGUUCCCCAAAAGCCCUUUAGAUGGAGAGAAACCACGGAGGAAACCUCACAUCCACGGGAGACGAGCAAAUAUGGCUGCAGCAAGCAGUUGCUCGCCUUUAACUGACUGGCGCGCUGAAGGCGGAGAGACCAGAAGAGGAGUGGCCACAAAGAUUGGAAGUCUGACAUCUUAUUGGACCUUUAGUUCCAACUAUAUUCUUAAAAAUGAACAUAAAUAAAGAUGGUGGUACGUAAGCUCAGUGACAGAACUCGCGAUUUCCAUUAUUUUAUAUGGUAAUGAAAGAUUAUCCUAUUUUACAGCUUUUGCACACUAUCCAUAAACGUUAAAUAAUGUACACUAGGUCACACACCAUGUCUAUGCAAAUUUUCAACAUAUCUUCUACUUGGACAUCCGGCCUUGUAUCGCUCCGCGUCUUGGAGACAAGAAAAAGUUCCCAUGAAUUAGGUGGUAAGCUCAAUCCAGGACAGGAAAGGGUGGGAAUGUCUCACAAAAUGGCUCCGUGAUUCCUAAAUUAUCAGAGUACUGGUUGUGACCUAUUUGCGGGACUUACGCUUGGAAUUUUGCGUCUUGGAUUUUUACGUCUUGAAUUUUACGCUUGGAAUUUUGCGCUUGGUCAUUUUAGUCUUUCAUCCAGUUUCCAGGAAACUGAUGGCUCCAAACUUUGAGAAAAAAAUGAACUGAAGAACGUUACUCGCUAGCAGUAAUGGAAUAUAAUGCCUAAAUGCCAAAGCCAAGCUUGAAGGAAUAAUAGCUCAGUGGUACUGUACUUAACCCCAGAGAAACUGUCAACUUAGAGAGCUGUCAAAUUUUCUUAACUGACAGACAAUGAAUACCCACAUGAAAGAGACCACUAGGUAUUAGAAAAUCAAAGGUUGUCCUGCUGAUUCACGCUGACAAAUAACUCCCACCCUACUCUAAGUUCUCUUUAGGCGUCCGAUGAAUAAUAAAGGACACAAAAUUCCUUUGGUUCUGGACCAUCAAAGUACCUGCAAUUCACUAAUCUUACUGUUGGGGUGGUUGAGGUAGGGAUGGAAAGUGGGCUACAGAAUAAGGAAACUCUGUUUCAACAAAAGAAAAAGAAACUUAGAAUAAAAUAAUAAUACACAAAGACUAAAUAAACCAGCAGGUGGCAGCAUGAAUCUUUCCAAAACAUUUGAAGUCAAACUUGGAGUGUAGAAGGAUUCCGAUCUGAAUUGAAAGCCGAAAGUUGGUCUAACUUUGGUAUCAGAAGAAAGGGCAAAAGAAAGACAUUCAGUUUACUAUCAUUGAAAGAGACCAUCUUGUCAGAGUGCCUUGCUCCAAGGUAAUAAUGCUAGUACAAAAUUUGGUAGAGCAAUCAGGAUCGAAGUAACAGGCACAUGGGAACUUUCCAAAAGCAUUACCAGUGAAAGACAGACAUGUGACAGAAAAAAGACCCAAGGACCGGCUUUUCACAGCUAAGAGCAGCUGUCAUCACAAUGUACAUGGUUUUGUAUAAACAAGACCUUCUAAAUGAGGUAACAACUACCUUUGAACUUGUGAGGUACUGGUCAGAUUAUGCAAGCCAGUGCAACAUUUUGUGGGGAUGUGAGAGAGAAUCAUCAAAUAAAAGAGUUGAAUUUACUCUA
Non-coding RNA from Rattus norvegicus (Norway rat), 11602 nucleotides. The record is from RefSeq and is a predicted model, not a curated record. Lineage: Eukaryota; Metazoa; Chordata; Mammalia; Rodentia; Muridae.